Molecule: ribosomal RNA, 239 nt
Filed under: uncultured bacterium
Lineage: Bacteria
Description: partial 16S ribosomal RNA
Rfam family: Bacterial small subunit ribosomal RNA
Source: RNAcentral
UACGGAGGGGGUUAGCGUUGUUCGGAAUUACUGGGCGUAAAGCGUACGUAGGCGGAUCAGAAAGUAUAGGGUGAAAUCCCGAGGCUCAACCUCGGAACUGCCUUGUAAACUCCUGGUCUUGAGUUCGAGAGAGGUGAGUGGAAUUCCAAGUGUAGAGGUGAAAUUCGUAGAUAUUUGGAGGAACACCAGUGGCGAAGGCGGCUCACUGGCUCGAUACUGACGCUGAGGUACGAAAGUGU